UUUCUCUGUAAGAAAGAAUUUCCCCCUGCACAGCUGAUGUCUAAGAGAGACUGUGUCCUGAUGACAAGAUUCAGAAAGGUCGUUUAAAUUAUACUGCCUGAAAUUUCCAAGAUGGCAUCACCUGUAAGAGAGAAAAAAAAAGAAUGUCAUUGAAUAGAGGAGGAGAUGCUGAUUUCUAUGUGAGUGGACAGGAGAACAGAGAGCGCUUUGUGGCUGAAACUCAGUUAACUGGAAACCUCGGGAAUUGCAAUUUUUACGUGACUGCGGUUCAGUGGAACAGAGUCUUGCGCUGAUAACUCAGAGAUAAACGACUAGAUCCUGGUUUGGUAGCUGAUGCUGGAAAACAUGACCCUCUUCAUGGAUUGAUGCUAUACAGACUCUGGUUGCCCUAAAGGAGGCCAUAUCCCUCACUAGCUGGUGCUGUGCUGGAAUUAAAGUAACUGGCAAGGCUAACAGUGGGAGGAAAAGCAUGCUGUUUGUGCAGUGGUGUUGUUCCUACUUAUCUGUUAAACAAAAGUGUGCUUUUAAAAUAUUUUCCUUGUCUGACAUCAACGAGUGUUCCAAGCAUGAGAAAAUGGUGAGCCUGUUGAUGUGCCAAUUGACUGCUAUUGUCAAAUGGCUGAAUUUCUUAGAUUUCUUAGUAUUGAUUUAGCGAAAUCCCUUGACAGCCUGAGUUUUAUCUCUUCCUGAUGACAUUCUGUCUCUCUUUUCUACUCGAUGAAAUGGCAGGUGUAUUAUAUACAGUAUCAUCAAUUUAUACUUCACAGCCAUUUCUCAGCUCCUGCACUUCCUCAAAUUCUCUAUUUAUUUACGUACUUAAGGACCAUGUUGUUCAGCCAUUUCUUCUCGGUGAAGUGCAAAGAUUUGGUUUAAAGCAGGCUAUAGCUGAAAUAUGGCUUUCAUCAAACAGUAACAUCUUUGUCAAACUUCAACAGAAUUAACCUUAACUGCCAAGGAAGGUUUGACUUCCAUCAUAAAAAUGUUUGAUUAGUGUUAAUAAUUUAUUAAAUUGGUUUGUCCUGACGUUGCCAACAUGCUGGAAAUCUCUCAACCAUUAAAACAUUAACAGAGGCUGUCAUACAAUGCUUCCCCUGUUCUGUGUUGAAUUUCAGAACCACGUUCUUCUGAGGCUGGUUCUGCAGGGUUCCAAUGUGCACUCAUUAGGACUGCAUUAAAAGAUGAAAUAUACUGAAUAUUAAAAAGUGUGGCACUAGGAAGCAGAGCAUGCUGAGCGUACCUCCACAGACAGUUUGGCUGGGAUUAAACCAGGCAAAAGCAAACCUUUUUGUCAAAAUAUGGGGAAAUACAAUUGUUAGCUGAGUAUCUUUAGGAGAUGGAUCCCCUCUGUUGGAUUACUGGUGUAUUUUAAAAAUUUGGGUGAGGCAUUAUGAGAACUACAUUGAAUAGUGAACGUGAUAAUUGAACUGUUUAUGUUGAGGCAUAUCACUAAAUUGUAUCCUCGGCAGAAUUCCAUUCAAUAAAUGCACUCAGACCUUGAGAAUGGGUUCCCACCAACUUUUACUUUUAUCAGGUACAACCACAGUUAAAUUUCCAGUGGUUGGAGCCUAACCUGUAGCAGCAACACCUGCUUUACCUCAUGCAAAAUGGAAUUGUGUGUGUUGUUAUUUAUCGAUACAGCCCUCUGAGUGUGCAGAAGGCUUUUAUAUAAACAUAUUGAAGACAAAUAGCUAAAUCUAUCCAUUGUGUGCUUCUAUUACCUUCAGUGGCACAACACCAGGAAUGAAUUUGUCCCAAGGACUUAGUCCCAAAGAAUUUACCAUUUCCUUUUGAUAUACCAGUAUAUGGGACAUAAGGUGCACAGUCACAUUGGAAGGCUGUGUUGAAAAAGUACAUAAGUGUUCACUUAGGCAAGCUAAACCUUUCUUUGUGAGCACACACUUUGUGGACUGCAUUUAGGUGCCAACCUUGAAAAUUUGGCCCAAGGUUUUUUAAUGUGGGAAGAUGUUCUAUUCAAAAGAAAUUCAGAGCAGCUGUGGUUUAUUCAGUACCCUGUGAAACCCAAUGUGAUGGGUGCAUUAGAACAAGAGGCACAUGUCUUUUUUUUUUUUUUUUUUUGCUUAAUAAAUAAAUAAACGGAGUUUGGCAGACAUGUCCUAAACGCUUAUCUAUUUUUGAACUCAUGACCCUUAAAGCAGGUUUCAUUAGUGUCUGGGUCUUGCUGUUCCCAAUCUACAUCAACGCUAUGAAUCAAAGUCUGUGCUCAGUUACAGUAAUAUAAAUCUACAGUAUCUGAACUGAAGUCAGUGGAGUUACUCUGGAUUUACAAUAAUGUAACUGAGGGUAGAAUUUAGACCCGUAUUUUCACUUCUGUCAGUGCUCACUGGCAAUUCAGGGAAUACAUGCUUUGUAUUGUGAACUUCAACAGAAGAGUCCCAUGACAUCAAAAUAUAAAUCAAGCUGUUGAAUUCUCUGAAGUUUAGCGAUGUUUACUGUUAGCACUGAGCUGACUGCAUUUUGUAAAAGGGAACAGUGUCUUCGUACACACUGUUUCAUAAUAUGAUGGCAAAAAUUGCAUAGGAAGUUAUGUAUUACCAAGGAAGAAAAAAUAACCAGUUGUUCCAACAUCAGAAAUUCAUAGUCCUUCAAUUUGAUACAUUCUGACAGAUAUGUCAGUUACAUGACUGUUCUGGGAACAGUUUUUAAAUAAAUCCACAUACAUCUUAAAGCACUGACUCUGAAAGUGAUGAAAAUAGAAUCACUUCUGCUCUUCUGUAUCAAUGUUCACAGCUUUAAUGCUUUCUUAAAUAGUUGCUGUGAUAAUAUUAAAAAGUGUUAAACCGUCUGAAAUUUAAAAAGAGUCCUGCAUUCAUGAAUUAUAAAAUGACAAAAAAAAUGGGUCUGACUCUGCAUAUUACAUGGGAUUAUUUUAAUCUUGGGUAUCAGGGUCUCCUGCGAAUUAUGAUGUCACUUUUGAUGGAAUUAUUUCCUUAUAAUUCACCAGCCCCAUCUACUGUUCUCUAUGGGAUAAAUCUUGAUUUCCUAUUUACUCAGUCAAGUAAAACGUCCAUUGACUUCAGUAAGCUCUUGAACUGACUAUUGUCCUAGGGGCAAAUCGUGCUAAGUGCUGAGAACACCCUCUUAGGCUCUGAGCAUCCUCAGCUUCCCCUGACAAUACCCCUUGAAUCAGUGCUUCAGAGUUUGUCCCUAUAGAAUGAGCCAGACACAUGCUCGAUAUACAUAAACAGACAAGAAUGGAAAUUUGAUAUUAAUGGUUAAUAAACAUCCCAUUCAAACUGCGACACUGGCAGACCAGGUGCCAGCUGAUGCCAAGGCCCCCAUGUCUGGCUCACCUGUGUGUUAGUAUUGUUAAAAUAGGUAUUAGAAUGAUAAGAAUGUGUUUAGUGUUUAGAAUUUAUGUAAUGCUUGUAAAUUGCUGCAUACAUUAAUCUCACUUAUAGCAUCUGUAUAGCAUAUUAUAAGGUAAUAUCUGAGUAUUUGCAUUAUAAACCUCUGUAACUGUGUAAAUCACCAGAGAGAAACAUUAACUAAUAUAGAUCUCCAACAGAAGGUACUAUGUCCUGGCCAACCAGGAUAGACACGAGACAGACCAGAGUACGAUAUUAAAGAGGACAAAAUACCCUUUUUGUUUAUUCAGUCUCCUUCCCUCCCCCUGGAAGAUGAGUCUUGCAAGUGAAUUCUUCCCAUCAACUGAGUUUGCAGCUCAAAGCAGAAAGGUGGAAGGGAAUAAAAACCCCUAACAAGGAUGAACUGUAUCUUUAUGCUGCUUAGACUCUGGAGGGCAAGAAUUACUAGGCAUAAGCAUAAGAUCCCCAGUGCUUAGCCUGGGUUAGCCCUAAAGUACAAGAUCUUGCUUAUCACAGAAGCCUCUUUUACUUCGGAAAAUUAAGACUGUAACUCAUUUGUGUAUGUAUGUUUACAUGCUUUAACCUUGUAAAUAUCUCUCGCUUUCUUUUCCUAUUAAUAAACCGAUAUAUAGUUUA
Molecule: long non-coding RNA, 3962 nt
Organism: Trachemys scripta elegans
Lineage: Eukaryota; Metazoa; Chordata; Testudines; Emydidae
Exons: 2
Source: RefSeq, a predicted model, not a curated record